This is a long non-coding RNA of Diceros bicornis minor, 1145 nucleotides long. RefSeq lists it as uncharacterized. The transcript has 3 exons. NCBI's taxonomy places the organism in Eukaryota, Metazoa, Chordata, Mammalia, Perissodactyla, Rhinocerotidae. The record is from RefSeq and is a predicted model, not a curated record.
GGGAGGAGCUCCCGGCCCCGCGCGCGCAGCCCCCUGUGAAGAAGCACCCGGCUGCCCACGACGUGUCCCUGUCCCUGAAACGAAGGAAAGCGCGGGAGACUCUCGUCAGCCACCCCGAGGCGGGGGAGAGCCGCGGCGCCGGCGCGAUCAUGUGCCGGGGUUCCUGCCCUGGGCUGAAGGCGCCGGUCACUUCGCCGUCGGGUCCAGCCAACUCUCCAGCUUCGGCUCUGCCCUCCCCGCAGUGGACGGUGUAUCACUAGGUCCUCAGGUUGCGUGACAGAAACCAAACGAGCCAGCUGACACAGCAAGAGCGUUUGUUACCAGGGCGUUCCCGGACCUCGUGGAACCCCCGGAGGAGGUAACCCCCGGCCUCUGCAGGAUCCAGGACUCCCGCAAGGGCACGUGCCACCCUCUGCCCUUCCUGCGGCUCCUCGCCCAGCAAGCCUUAGUUCUGCAUUCCACCGUCUCGAGAAGGGGCCAAAUGACCCAGCCAGUGUUCCUCUUGGGUUCCGGUACGGCCGACCUCGGCCCUGAACACCACACUUCAGAGGACCCUGCGUAUCACAAACCGCGAAAAAAUAGAACUCAUUCAAGAACUCGUGGGUGUCCUCAUCCCUGGGGUCCUGCUUGCUGUUGGUGGACGUGAGCCGUAAUCCCAAACCCUCGGGGCAGCUCUCCCCCGCGUCUUCAGCAGGGACCCCGAGCAGAAGGCCCCGCACCUGGAUUCCGGGAGGCUGUGUGGGUUGUGCUGCGUCGAGGCCUGAGGCACAGGCUGCCUUAGACAGCAGGGAGAUUCGAGCAGCUUUUGCACGUAGGAAGGACAAAGAAGAACUUGUCAAAUCUUCCUCCCAGAUACCAUAAGUAAAGCAGAUCCCGCUACAGGAAGUCUCGUUCCGCAGUAGCACAGAACAUCUGUUCUCCUGUUUCCCUUCUGUGACCAGCUGUGGGAGCAGGGGCACUCCUGAUGGAGUGUGGUAGUCGUAAUAGUUGCCAUGGCAGCUGAGAAACAUUUUGCUGUGGUGAUUUAGAAUGCUUCAGAAGAAAAAGAACUUUUGGGGAAAACUUACGUAUUAUGUUUUAUAAGGAAUAACUACAAGUCAAAAUCAUAAAAGUAGUAGAAAAUAUAAAAGCAAACUCAAAAUAGA